This 565-nucleotide ribosomal RNA is filed under the name uncultured archaeon. RNAcentral describes it as "bacterial SSU rRNA". It matches the Rfam family "Archaeal small subunit ribosomal RNA", at positions 326 to 897 of the family's 1478-position model. The record is from RNAcentral.
CGGGGUGCAGCAGGCGCGAAACCUCUGCAAUAGGCGAAAGCCUGACAGGGUUACUCUGAGUGAUUUCCGUUAAGGAGAUCUUUUGGCACCUCUAAAAAUGGUGCAGAAUAAGGGGUGGGCAAGUCUGGUGUCAGCCGCCGCGGUAAUACCAGCACCCCGAGUGGUCGGGACGUUUAUUGGGCCUAAAGCAUCCGUAGCCGGUUCUACAAGUCUUCCGUUAAAUCCACCUGCUUAACAGAUGGGCUGCGGAAGAUACUAUAGAGCUAGGAGGCGGGAGAGGCAAGCGGUACUCGAUGGGUAGGGGUAAAAUCCGUUGAUCCAUUGAAGACCACCAGUGGCGAAGGCGACUUGCCAGAACGCGCUCGACGGUGAGGGAUGAAAGCUGGGGGAGCAAACCGGAUUAGAUACCCGGGUAGUCCCAGCUGUAAACGAUGCAGACUCGGUGAUGAGUUGGCUUUAUGCCAACUCAGUGCCGCAGGGAAGCCGUUAAGUUUGCCGCCUGGGGAGUACGGUCGCAAGACUGAAACUUAAAGGAAUUGGCGGGGGAGCACAAGGGCGAUUCGCG